RNAcentral lists this ribosomal RNA (503 nucleotides) under uncultured bacterium. RNAcentral's name for it is "partial 16S ribosomal RNA". It matches the Rfam family "Bacterial small subunit ribosomal RNA", at positions 30 to 523 of the family's 1533-position model. The record is from RNAcentral.
AUUGAACGCUGGCGGCAGGCUUAACACAUGCAAGUCGAGCGGAGUGAUGGUGCUUGCACUAUCACUUAGCGGCGGACGGGUGAGUAAUGCUUAGGAAUCUGCCUAUUAGUGGGGGACAACAUCUCGAAAGGGAUGCUAAUACCGCAUACGUCCUACGGGAGAAAGCAGGGGAUCACUUGUGACCUUGCGCUAAUAGAUGAGCCUAAGUCGGAUUAGCUAGUUGGUGGGGUAAAGGCCUACCAAGGCGACGAUCUGUAGCGGGUCUGAGAGGAUGAUCCGCCACACUGGGACUGAGACACGGCCCAGACUCCUACGGGAGGCAGCAGUGGGGAGUAUUGGACAAUGGGGGGAACCCUGAUCCAGCCAUGCCGCGUGUGUGAAGAAGGCCUUAUGGUUGUAAAGCACUUUAAGCGAGGAGGAGGCUCUUUUGGUUAAUACCCAAGAUGAGUGGACGUUACUCGCAGAAUAUGCACCGGCUAACUCUGUGCCAGCAGCCGCCGUAA